RNAcentral lists this ribosomal RNA (432 nucleotides) under Triticum aestivum (bread wheat). Its description in RNAcentral is "partial small subunit ribosomal RNA". Lineage: Eukaryota; Viridiplantae; Streptophyta; Magnoliopsida; Poales; Poaceae. The record is from RNAcentral.
AUGGCGCCCGAGACCUCCUUGCAGCACCUCCUCGCCGACCCGCCUCGAUGCCGUGGAUCCGAACGCCCAGCGCCGCUCGGCGUCGUCCGCCAAGAUUCUGCGCCCCGCCGAGCUCCCUGCCGCGCCGGAGUCACGCCGUUUUCCCUUCCCCGCAUCGCCGCCAAGUCCUCGUCGCCGGAGUCUUGCACGUCGUCGUACCUCUUGACCGGUCGCGCUGCUGCGUUUUCUUUUCGAGGGAGACGAGCGCCACGUUCUGAAGCCCACGUUCCUUCGUUGACCACGCACUCCCCUGCAUCGUCGCUUGGACCUCCUCUGCUCCGGCCCAGCGCGCCGCUAGAGCAGGCCAAGGCCCAGCUCCCUCUUCGCCCCAGCCACGCACAGGCCUCAAGGCCCAAUGUGAGCAGCACCCUGGCUUUUCCUCUAUUGGGCUAG